RNAcentral lists this transfer-messenger RNA (413 nucleotides) under Patescibacteria group. Its description in RNAcentral is "OLZORAL124-38-8 sp002747745 Standard tmRNA". It matches the Rfam family "transfer-messenger RNA". Rfam says of the family: Bacterial tmRNA, also known as 10Sa RNA or SsrA, is named for its dual tRNA and mRNA-like properties. Its role is to liberate the mRNA from a stalled ribosome. The record is from RNAcentral. RNAcentral also lists the same sequence under 1 other name.
GGGGAUGCCAGGCUUUGACGAUGAGACCUGACAUUGCAUACUUGCGUUAGCGGCGUGUCAUAUUCGCCGAGAGAUCCAAUGUGACAAAUAAAUAAGUGCAAAACUUAAAAACCGAGCUCAAACAUCUUUGCGAUCUUGGGCUCAAACAGCUAAAUUUUCUUUGGCUGUCUAACAAAUCGUGGUUGAGCCAUUUGCUCCUACGUGAAAUAUAACUACUGUCUCGCCGGUUAUGUUUCAAUUUAGAGACUCGUUAUAAAUCGAUUGAUUGCCGAUUUAUAAGACCUUUUAGCAAUUAACGAACGAAUGUUUUUUGUUUUAUUUUUAAGCAUUCGCCGUAGAUAAAUAAAACUAUGAGCGUAGAUGGUAUGGGAUGUCCUCGUCGGACGCGAGUUCGAUUCUCGCCAUCUCCACCA